GGCCAGUUAGCUCAGCUGGUUAGAGCGUGGUGCUAAUAACACCAAGGUCGCAGGUUUGAUCCCUGUACAGGCCA
Molecule: transfer RNA, 74 nt
Filed under: Loxodonta africana (African savanna elephant)
Lineage: Eukaryota; Metazoa; Chordata; Mammalia; Proboscidea; Elephantidae
Description: tRNA-Ile (AAT) (tRNA-Ile-AAT-17-1)
Rfam family: tRNA
About the family: Transfer RNA (tRNA) molecules are approximately 80 nucleotides in length.
Source: Rfam by way of RNAcentral